This 424-nucleotide ribosomal RNA is filed under the name uncultured cyanobacterium. RNAcentral describes it as "bacterial SSU rRNA". It matches the Rfam family "Bacterial small subunit ribosomal RNA", at positions 356 to 795 of the family's 1533-position model. Lineage: Bacteria; Bacillati; Cyanobacteriota. The record is from RNAcentral.
GGGGAAUUUUCCGCAAUGGGCGAAAGCUUGACGGAGCAAUGUCGCGUGGAGGAUGAAGGCUCGUGGGUUGUCAACUCCUUUUGUCAAAGAAGAAACACUGACGGUAUUUGACGAAUAAGCAUCGGCUAACUCUGUGCCAGCAGCCGCGGUAAUACGGAGGAUGCAAGCGUUAUCCGGAAUUAUUGGGCGUAAAGCGUCCGCAGGCGGUCUUGUAAGUCUGUCGUUAAAGCGUGGAGCUUGACUCCAUUUCAGCGAUGGAAACUGCAAGACUAGAGUGUGGUAGGGGCAGAGGGAAUUCCCGGUGUAGCGGUGAAAUGCGUAGAUAUCGGGAAGAACACCAGUGGCGAAGGCGCUCUGCUGGGCCAUAACUGACGCUCAUGGACGAAAGCCAGGGGAGCGAAAGGGAUUAGAUACCCCAGUAGUC